AGAUUAGCUCCUAUCAGUGGGUAGCCCUCUAGGGAGAGAACUGUCAGAGGGUUUUGUUCACACCUUGUUUCAAAUGCUGCUGCUCCUUCAGGACUGUGGACACGGAGACCUGCUUCCUAAGACUUCCCUCCCCACUUGGCAAUCAUCUUGAAUUUGUAUUAGAAGUAAGGAAAUGGGACUGCUUUCUCCAAAUAUUUAUAAUGACUUUAUUGCUCUGAAUUGCCACACAUCAGAGAGAACUUUUAACCAUUAGGGGUCUUGACUUCCUAUUUGUGAAAAGUGGAGUGACUCUGAUCAAGAAGGCUCAACUCCUUUUGUUCUGUCAAUGACCUGGGCAAUGUACUCAAUCUCUUUGAAAAGAUCCAAUCAAGAGGUUGGAGAUCACAGGAAUGGCAUCAUGUCAUGAUGGCCAUAGGGGAGCCACACCAGCUGUACUGUCCCCAGUGGAAAGAGCCAGGACCCAGGACAGGCAGUGACAGCUUCCCAGGACCACCCUUAUCCUGGCUUCUUUUCCACCUGCCUCUAGGAAGCUUAAGCUUCUAGCUUUCCUAAACAAGGAUGGUGUCUACAUUUGUGAACCAGAGAGGAACUCUGCAUGAAGUCUUGAAAGGUGUUUCCAGAGAGAAAACUGAUUCAAGAUAGGCUGAGUGAAUAUGGCCCUCACCCCUAACCAGUGUAGGUGGGCCUAAUCUAAUCCACUGAGGACUGGAAGAGGAUGAAAAAAUGAAGGGAGGCUGACUUUGGUCUCUGCUUGAGCUGGGACUCCUGUCUUCCUCAGGCAUCAGCGUUUCCCGUUCUCAGGCCUUUGGUCUUGGACCAGGAUGUUCGUGAAUCUCUCUCUCCAGACUCAGUAAUAGGAAAAUAAACAACCCAAUUAAAAAUGGGCAAAGUUUAAACAUUUCUCCAAAGAAGAUAUUCAGACCUCAAAUGUACGUAUAAAAAGAUGCUCAACAUCCUCAGAUAGUAGGAAAAUUAAAAGUCUAAUGAGGUAGCACUAUACAGCUAUUAGAAUUCCUAAAAGAAUAUGACAGUUAUCAAGUGCUGACAAAAAAGUGGAGCAACUGAAACUUGCGUGUAUCGCUGAGAGAGGAUAAAAUAUGGUGCAGACACGUGUUUGGAAAUUUCUUAUAAUGUUAAAAUAGAUUUAUUGUACUACCCAGCAUGAUCGCCACCCAAGAGAAAUGAAAACUCAACGUUACACAAAAACCUGUAUGUGAAUAUAUAGAGAAGGUUUAUUCACAACUGCCAAAAACUGGACGUAAGUCAAAUGUCUUUCAUUUCUAUGUAAACAAACUGGGAUACAUCCAGGUAAUGGAAUACUACUCAGCAAUAAAAAGGAACAAACUUCUGAUAGACACACAAUGUAUGAAUCUAAAAUGUAUUAUGGUAAGAAAAAGAACCUACACUACAAAGGCUUAUAUGACAUUCUGGAAAAGGCAAAACCAUAGGGAAGAGAAUUGAUUAAGGGGUUGGGGCAAAGAUUGACCACGAAGAGACAUGAGAUAAUGUUUUGGGUGAUAGAACUGUUCUAUAUCUUGAGUGUGGUAAUGGUCACAUUAUUGUCAAAACUCACAGAACUGUAGAUUAAAAGCGGUGAAUUUACUGUAUAUAUAUUGUACUUCAAUAAAUUUAAUUAAAGUAAAACUUGGG
This 1650-nucleotide long non-coding RNA is filed under the name Sus scrofa (pig). Its description in RNAcentral is "lncRNA (ENSSSCG00035015365.1)". The record is from RNAcentral. Lineage: Eukaryota; Metazoa; Chordata; Mammalia; Artiodactyla; Suidae.